RNAcentral lists this small nuclear RNA (107 nucleotides) under Cercocebus atys (sooty mangabey). Lineage: Eukaryota; Metazoa; Chordata; Mammalia; Primates; Cercopithecidae. The record is from RNAcentral.
GUGCUCACUUAGGCAGCACAUAUGCUAAAAUUGGAAUGAAACAGAGAAGAUUAGCACGGCCCCUGUGCACGGAAAACAUGCACAUUCAUGAAGCGUUCCAUAUUUUU